GGGUUGUGAGGUUAAGCGACUAAGCGUACACGGUGGAUGCCCUGGCAGUCAGAGGCGAUGAAGGACGUGCUAAUCUGCGAAAAGCGUCGGUAAGGUGAUAUGAACCGUUAUAGCCGGCGAUGUCCGAAUGGGGAAACCCAGUGCAAUUCGUUGCACUAUCGUUAACUGAAUACAUAGGUUAACGAGGCGAACCGGGGGAACUGAAACAUCUAAGUACCCCGAGGAAAAGAAAUCAACCGAGAUUCCCCCAGUAGCGGCGAGCGAACGGGGAGCAGCCCAGAGUCUGAAUCAGCUUGUGUGUUAGUGGAACGGUCUGGAAAGUCCGACGGUACAGGGUGAUAGUCCCGUACACCAAAAUGCACAGGCUGUGAACUCGAAGAGUAGGGCGGGACACGUGGUAUCCUGUCUGAAUAUGGGGGGACCAUCCUCCAAGGCUAAAUACUCCUGACUGACCGAUAGUGAACCAGUACCGUGAGGGAAAGGCGAAAAGAACCCCGGCGAGGGGAGUGAAAAAGAACCUGAAACCGUGUACGUACAAGCAGUGGGAGCACCUUCGGGUGUGACUGCGUACCUUUUGUAUAAUGGGUCAGCGACUUAUAUUCUGUAGCAAGGUUAACCGUAUAGGGGAGCCGCAGGAAACCGAGUCUUAACUGGGCGUUAAGUUGCAGGGUAUAGACCCGAAACCCGGUGAUUCAGCCAUGGGCAGGUUGAAGGUUGGGUAACACUAACUGGAGGACCGAACCGACUAAUGUUGAAAAAUUAGCGGAUGACUUGUGGCUGGGGUGAAAGGCCAAUCAAACCGGGAGAUAGCUGGUUCUCCCCGAAAGCUAUUUAGGUAGCGCCUCGUGAAUUCAUCUUCGGGGUAGAGCACUGUUUCGGCUAGGGGUCAUCCCGACUUACCAACCCGAUGCAAACUACGAAUACCGAAGAAUGUUAUCACGGGAGACACACGGCGGGUGCUAACGUCCGUCGUGAAGAGGGAAACAACCCAGACCGCCAGCUAAGGUCCCAAAGUCAUGGUUAAGUGGGAAACGAUGUGGGAAGGCACAGACAGCGGGAUGUUGGCUUAGAAGCAGCCAUCAUUUAAAGAAAGCGUAAUAGCUCACUGGUCGAGUCGGCCUGCGCGGAAGAUGUAACGGGGCUAAACCAUGCACCGAAGCUGCGGCAGCGACACGAUGUGUUGUUGGGUAGGGGAGCGUUCUGUAAGCCUGCGAAGGUGACCUGUGAGGGUUGCUGGAGGUAUCAGAAGUGCGAAUGCUGACAUAAGUAACGAUAAAGCGGGUGAAAAGCCCGCUCGCCGGAAGACCAAGGGUUCCUGUCCAACGUUAAUCGGGGCAGGGUGAGUCGACCCCUAGGCGAGGCCGAAAGGCGUAGUCGAUGGGAAACAGGUUAAUAUUCCUGUACUUGGUGUUACUGCGAAGGGGGACGGAGAAGGCUAUGUUAGCCGGGCGACGGUUGUCCCGGUUUAAGCAUGUAGGCUGGUUAUCCGUGCAAAUCCGGAUAAUCAAGGCUGAGGUGUGAUGACGAGGCACUACGGUGCUGAAGUAACAAAUGCCCUGCUUCCAGGAAAAGCCUCUAAGCAUCAGGUAACAUCAAAUCGUACCCCAAACCGACACAGGUGGUCAGGUAGAGAAUACCAAGGCGCUUGAGAGAACUCGGGUGAAGGAACUAGGCAAAAUGGUGCCGUAACUUCGGGAGAAGGCACGCUGGUGUGUAGGUGAAGCCCCUGCGGGUGGAGCUGAGACCAGUCGAAGAUACCAGCUGGCUGCAACUGUUUAUUAAAAACACAGCACUGUGCAAACACGAAAGUGGACGUAUACGGUGUGACGCCUGCCCGGUGCCGGAAGGUUAAUUGAUGGGGUUAUCCGUAAGGAGAAGCUCUUGAUCGAAGCCCCGGUAAACGGCGGCCGUAACUAUAACGGUCCUAAGGUAGCGAAAUUCCUUGUCGGGUAAGUUCCGACCUGCACGAAUGGCGUAAUGAUGGCCAGGCUGUCUCCACCCGAGACUCAGUGAAAUUGAACUCGCUGUGAAGAUGCAGUGUACCCGCGGCAAGACGGAAAGACCCCGUGAACCUUUACUAUAGCUUGACACUGAACAUUGAGCCUUGAUGUGUAGGAUAGGUGGGAGGCUUUGAAGCGUGGACGCCAGUCUGCGUGGAGCCAACCUUGAAAUACCACCCUUUAAUGUUUGAUGUUCUAACGUUGGCCCCUUAUCGGGGUUGCGGACAGUGUCUGGUGGGUAGUUUGACUGGGGCGGUCUCCUCCCAAAGCGUAACGGAGGAGCACGAAGGUUAGCUAAUCCUGGUCGGACAUCAGGAGGUUAGUGCAAUGGCAUAAGCUAGCUUGACUGCGAGCGUGACGGCGCGAGCAGGUGCGAAAGCAGGUCAUAGUGAUCCGGUGGUUCUGAAUGGAAGGGCCAUCGCUCAACGGAUAAAAGGUACUCCGGGGAUAACAGGCUGAUACCGCCCAAGAGUUCAUAUCGACGGCGGUGUUUGGCACCUCGAUGUCGGCUCAUCACAUCCUGGGGCUGAAGUAGGUCCCAAGGGUAUGGCUGUUCGCCAUUUAAAGUGGUACGCGAGCUGGGUUUAGAACGUCGUGAGACAGUUCGGUCCCCUAUCUGCCGUGGGCGCUGGAGAAUUGAGGGGCUGCUCCUAGUACGAGAGGACCGGAGUGGACGCAUCACUGGUGUUCGGGUUGUCAUGCCAAUGGCACUGCCCGGUAGCUAAAUGCGGAAGAGAUAAGUGCUGAAAGCAUCUAAGCACGAAACUUGCCCCGAGAUGAGUUCUCCCUGAGACUUUAAGUCUCCUGAAGGAACGUUAAAGACGAUGACGUUGAUAGGCCGGGUGUGUAAGCGCAGCGAUGCGUUGAGCUAACCGGUACUAAUGAACCGUGAGGCUUAACCUUACAACGCCGAAG
RNAcentral lists this ribosomal RNA (2915 nucleotides) under Klebsiella quasipneumoniae subsp. similipneumoniae. RNAcentral's name for it is "23S ribosomal RNA". It matches the Rfam family "Bacterial large subunit ribosomal RNA". Lineage: Bacteria; Pseudomonadati; Pseudomonadota; Gammaproteobacteria; Enterobacterales; Enterobacteriaceae. The record is from RNAcentral.